GAUGAAGAACGCAGCGAAAUGCGAUAAGUAGUGUGAAUUGCAGAAUUCAGUGAAUCAUCGAAUCUUUGAACGCACAUUGCGCCCCUUGGUAUUCCAUGGGGCAUGCCUGUUCGAGCGUCAUUUGUACCUUCAAGCUCUGCUUGGUGUUGGGUGUUUGUCUCGCCUCUGCGUGUAGACUCGCCUCAAAACAAUUGGCAGCCGGCGUAUUGAUUUCGGAGCGCAGUACAUCUCGCGCUUUGCACUCAUAACGACGACGUCCAAAAGUACAUUUUUACACUCUUGACCUCGGAUCAGGUAGGGAUACCCGCUGAACUUAAUCAUAUCAAUAAGCGGAGGA
Molecule: unclassified non-coding RNA, 337 nt
Filed under: soil metagenome
Description: partial contains 5.8S ribosomal RNA, internal transcribed spacer 2, and large subunit ribosomal RNA
Rfam family: 5.8S ribosomal RNA (bases 1-120)
Source: RNAcentral